Molecule: long non-coding RNA, 499 nt
Organism: Vidua chalybeata
Lineage: Eukaryota; Metazoa; Chordata; Aves; Passeriformes; Viduidae
Exons: 3
Source: RefSeq, a predicted model, not a curated record
GGGAUGGGGUAACAGACACAGAACUCUCAGGAGUGGAUGGGGGGUGGUUACAGGACUGGCAUGGAGAAGCUCCAAUGCGCCAGUUGCAGAACGUGGCCAGCUGCCGCUGGUGCACUGAACACCACAGCACCCAGGCCACACGGCACCCUGGUCUGGCUGAGAAACAGCACCUUUAGCCAGGCUCUCCAGAGCUGCCCCGGACCAGGGAAAACAACGCAAAGCCACGAUCAGGAUACAGCAAGGAGGAAGCUAGCCAUAUUUCUGGAAUGACAGUGUGAUAUCAACAGUUAUCUGUUUUGGAGGCUGAGAAACUUGGAAGAUUCCACCAAUGUAGGAUUGCUGUGGAUUGAAGAUCAGCAAGUGCCAAUUUUCAUCGAUUGCAAUUUACAGUUGCAGCAUAAUUCAUAUUGCUUUUCUACUUGCUCUCUUGCUCUUUUAUUUUGUGUUUACCCUGCAUGUAGUAGAAAUGCUUGCAUGUUCAAAACAUUUUCUGCUGAGA